CGGCUCUUAAUGCCGAACUGUGUCCCCCCCCCCCAAUGCUCCUACUGUGCGCUAUGGUUAGACGACCCCGGCCCUGGGAGCCCCACAUUGCUGCGGGGGGGGCGGGGGUGGAACGCGGGAUGGCGCCCAGAGAGAGGGAUGGCUGACCUGGAUCGGUCGCAGGGCACGUGAUCUGCGGGGAAUCAAAAGGCAAAGAACCAAGUGAGUUCAGUUCCAGAACCAUGUUGGGUGGCUCCUAACCACUUAAAAGUCCAGCUCCAGAGACACUUGGUGCCCUCCACUGGCAUCACUGGACUCAAUGAAGCUGGAGUUACAA
Molecule: non-coding RNA, 316 nt
Organism: Cricetulus griseus (Chinese hamster)
Lineage: Eukaryota; Metazoa; Chordata; Mammalia; Rodentia; Cricetidae
Source: RefSeq, a predicted model, not a curated record